RNAcentral lists this unclassified non-coding RNA (304 nucleotides) under uncultured Melanophyllum. RNAcentral describes it as "sequence contains ITS2". The stretch from base 1 to 52 matches the Rfam family "5.8S ribosomal RNA", at positions 103 to 154 of the family's 154-position model. The record is from RNAcentral. Lineage: Eukaryota; Fungi; Basidiomycota; Agaricomycetes; Agaricales; Agaricaceae.
AACGCACCUUGCGCUCCUUGGUAUUCCGAGGAGCAUGCCUGUUUGAGUGUCAUUAAAUUCUCAACCCAUUCAACUUGUAAUAAGUUGGUAUGUGGCUUGGAUGUGGGGGUAUAUGCAGGCCUAAAGGUCAGCUCCCCUGAAAUACAUUAGCGGAACGGUUUGCGAUCCGUCACUGGUGUGAUAAUUAUCUACGCCUAAGACAAUGGAAUGCUCUCUGUCUGUUCAGCUUCUAAUAGUCCCAUUAUUGUUGGACAACUUUUGAAAGUUUGACCUCAAAUCAGGUAGGAUUACCCGCUGAACUUAA